Molecule: ribosomal RNA, 253 nt
Filed under: uncultured bacterium
Lineage: Bacteria
Description: partial 16S ribosomal RNA
Rfam family: Bacterial small subunit ribosomal RNA
Source: RNAcentral
UACAGAGGUGGCAAGCGUUGUUCGGAAUUACUGGGCGUAAAGGGCGCGUAGGCGGCCUUCUAAGUCAGACGUGAAAUCCCCCGGCUUAACCUGGGAACUGCGUCUGAUACUGGGAGGCUUGAGUAUGGGAGAGGGAUGUAGAAUUCCAGGUGUAGCGGUGAAAUGCGUAGAUAUCUGGAGGAAUACCGGUGGCGAAGGCGGCAUCCUGGCUCUGUACUGACGCUGAGGCGCGAGAGCGUGGGGAGCAAACAGG